This is a microRNA precursor of Lepisosteus oculatus (spotted gar), 74 nucleotides long. It matches the Rfam family "mir-126 microRNA precursor family". The record is from Rfam. NCBI's taxonomy places the organism in Eukaryota, Metazoa, Chordata, Actinopteri, Semionotiformes, Lepisosteidae.
GCACAGUCCAUUAUUACUUUUGGUACGCGCUAUGCCACUCUCAAACUCGUACCGUGAGUAAUAAUGCACUGUGG